This 245-nucleotide ribosomal RNA is filed under the name uncultured bacterium. RNAcentral's name for it is "partial 16S ribosomal RNA". It matches the Rfam family "Bacterial small subunit ribosomal RNA", at positions 524 to 768 of the family's 1533-position model. The record is from RNAcentral.
UACGGAGGGUGCUAGCGUUGUUCGGAAUCAUUGGGCGUAAAGGGCGCGUAGGCGGUCUGUCAAGUCAGGUGUGAAAUACCUCGGCUCAACUGGGGAACUGCGCUUGAAACUGGCAGACUUGAGUACGGGAGAGGGUAGCGGAAUUCCGAGUGUAGAGGUGAAAUUCGUAGAUAUUCGGAGGAACACCGGUGGCGAAGGCGGCUACCUGGACCGAUACUGACGCUGAGGCGCGAAAGCGUGGGGAG